RNAcentral lists this transfer RNA (76 nucleotides) under Klebsiella pneumoniae. Its description in RNAcentral is "tRNA-Phe". It matches the Rfam family "tRNA". From Rfam's summary of the family: Transfer RNA (tRNA) molecules are approximately 80 nucleotides in length. The record is from RNAcentral. Lineage: Bacteria; Pseudomonadati; Pseudomonadota; Gammaproteobacteria; Enterobacterales; Enterobacteriaceae.
GCCCGGAUAGCUCAGACGGUAGAGCAGGGGAUUGAAAAUCCCCGUGUCCUUGGUUCGAUUCCGAGUCCGGGCACCA